GUGCAGCAGGCGAGAAUUUUUCACAAUGGGGGAAACCCUGAUGGAGCGACGCCGCGUGGAGGAUGAAGGCGUUUUCGUCGUAAACUCCUGUCAUGCGAGAACAAGAAAGUGAUAGUAUCGCAAGAGGAAGAGACGGCUAACUCUGUGCCAGCAGCCGCGGUAAUACAGAGGUCUCAAGCGUUGUUCGGAUUCAUUGGGCGUAAAGGGUGCGUAGGUGGCAUGGUAAGUUGAAGGUGAAAUCUCGGAGCUCAACUCCGAAACUGCCUUCAAUACUGCUGUGCUUGAGGACUGUAGAGGAGAAUGGAAUUCACGGUGUAGCAGUGAAAUGCGUAGAUAUCGUGAGGAAGACCAGUGGCGAAGGCGAUUCUCUGGGCAGUUCCUGACACUGAGGCACGAAGGCUAGGGGAGCAAACGGGAUUAGAUACCCCCGUAGUCC
Molecule: ribosomal RNA, 436 nt
Filed under: uncultured bacterium
Lineage: Bacteria
Description: bacterial SSU rRNA
Rfam family: Bacterial small subunit ribosomal RNA
Source: RNAcentral